Molecule: ribosomal RNA, 550 nt
Filed under: uncultured bacterium
Lineage: Bacteria
Description: bacterial SSU rRNA
Rfam family: Bacterial small subunit ribosomal RNA
Source: RNAcentral
UAGGGAAUCUUCGGCAAUGGGGGGAACCCUGACCGAGCAACGCCGCGUGAGUGAAGAAGGUUUUCGGAUCGUAAAGCUCUGCUGUUAAGGAAGAACGAGUGUGAGAAUGAAAAGUUCAUACUGUGACGGUACUUAACCAGAAAGGGACGGCUAACUACGUGCCAGCAGCCGCGGUAAUACGUAGGUCCCGAGCGUUGUCCGGAUUUAUUGGGCGUAAAGCGAGCGCAGGCGGUUAGAUAAGUCUGAAGUUAAAGGCAGUGGCUCAACCAUUGUAGGCUUUGGAAACUGUUUAACUUGAGUGCAGAAGGGGAGAGUGGAAUUCCAUGUGUAGCGGUGAAAUGCGUAGAUAUAUGGAGGAACACCGGUGGCGAAAGCGGCUCUCUGGUCUGUAACUGACGCUGAGGCUCGAAAGCGUGGGGAGCGAACAGGAUUAGAUACCCUGGUAGUCCACGCCGUAAACGAUGAGUGCUAGGUGUUAGGUCCUUUCCGGGACUUAGUGCCGCAGCUAACGCAUUAAGCACUCCGCCUGGGGAGUACGACCGCAAGGUUG